CCAGACUCCUACGGGAGGCAGCAGUAGGGAAUCUUUCACAAUGGGCGAAAGCCUGAUGGAGCAACGCCGCGUGCAGGAUGAAGGCCUUCGGGUUGUAAACUGCUUUUAUAAGCGAGAAAUAUGAUGGUAACUUAUGAAUAAGGAUCGGCUAACUACGUGCCAGCAGCCGCGGUAAUACGUAGGGGGCAAGCGUUAUCCGGAUUUACUGGGUGUAAAGGGGGCGCAGACGGCGAUGCAAGCCAGGAGUGAAAGCCCGCGGCGCAACCGCGGGACUGCAUUGGGAACUGCCGGGCUGGAGUGCAGGAGAGGUAGGCGGAAUUCCUAGUGUAGCGGUGAAAUGCGUAGAUAUUAGGAGGAACACCAGUGGCGAAGGCGGCCUACUGGACGGUGACUGACGCUGAGGCUCGAAAGCGUGGGGAGCAAACAGGAUUAGAUACCCUAGUAA
This 445-nucleotide ribosomal RNA is filed under the name uncultured bacterium. RNAcentral describes it as "partial 16S ribosomal RNA". It matches the Rfam family "Bacterial small subunit ribosomal RNA", at positions 331 to 793 of the family's 1533-position model. The record is from RNAcentral.